This 498-nucleotide ribosomal RNA is filed under the name uncultured bacterium. Its description in RNAcentral is "partial 16S ribosomal RNA". It matches the Rfam family "Bacterial small subunit ribosomal RNA", at positions 30 to 523 of the family's 1533-position model. The record is from RNAcentral.
AUUGAACGCUGGCGGCAUGCCUUACACAUGCAAGUCGAACGGUAACAGGUCUUCGGAUGCUGACGAGUGGCGAACGGGUGAGUAAUACAUCGGAACGUGCCUAGUAGUGGGGGAUAACUACUCGAAAGAGUGGCUAAUACCGCAUGAGAUCUACGGAUGAAAGCAGGGGAUCGCAAGACCUUGUGCUACUAGAGCGGCCGAUGGCAGAUUAGGUAGUUGGUGGGAUAAAAGCUUACCAAGCCGAAGAUCUGUAGCUGGUCUGAGAGGACGAUCAGCCACACCGGGACUGAGACACGGCCCAGACUCCUACGGGAGGCAGCAGUGGGGAAUUUUGGACAAUGGGCGCAAGCCUGAUCCAGCAAUGCCGCGUGCAGGAUGAAGGCCUUCGGGUUGUAAACUGCUUUUGUACGGAACGAAAAGCCCUGGGUUAAUACCCUGGGGUCAUGACGGUACCGUAAGAAUAAGCACCGGCUAACUACGUGCCAGCAGCCGCCGCUG